Molecule: ribosomal RNA, 489 nt
Filed under: uncultured bacterium
Lineage: Bacteria
Description: partial 16S ribosomal RNA
Rfam family: Bacterial small subunit ribosomal RNA
Source: RNAcentral
AUUGAACGCUGGCGGCAGGCCUAACACAUGCAAGUCGAACGGUAACAGGAAGCAGCUUGCUGCUUUGCUGACGAGUGGCGGACGGGUGAGUAAUGUCUGGGAAACUGCCCGAUGGAGGGGAUAACUACUGGAAACGGUAGCUAAUACCGCAUAACGUCGCAAGACCAAAGAGGGGGACCUUAGGGCCUCUUGCCAUCGGAUGUGCCCAGAUGGGAUUAGCUAGUAGGUGGGGUAACGGCUCACCUAGGCGACGAUCCCUAGCUGGUCUGAGAGGAUGACCAGCCACACUGGAACUGAGACACGGUCCAGACUCCUACGGGAGGCAGCAGUGGGGAAUAUUGCACAAUGGGCGCAAGCCUGAUGCAGCCAUGCCGCGUGUAUGAAGAAGGCCUUCGGGUUGUAAAGUACUUUCAGCGGGGAGGAAGGGAGUAAAGUUAAUACCUUUGCUCAUUGACGUUACCCGCAGAAGAAGCACCGGCUAACUCCGUG